UACGUAGGGGGCGAGCGUUGUCCGGAUUUAUUGGGCGUAAAGAGCGUGUAGGCGGCCAGGUAGGUCCGUUGUGAAAACUCGAGGCUCAACCUCGAGACGUCGAUGGAAACCAUCUGGCUAGAGUCCGGAAGAGGAGAGUGGAAUUCCUGGUGUAGCGGUGAAAUGCGCAGAUAUCAGGAAGAACACCCGUGGCGAAGGCGGUUCUCUGGGACGGUACUGACGCUGAGACGCGAAAGCGUGGGGAGCGAACAGG
RNAcentral lists this ribosomal RNA (253 nucleotides) under uncultured bacterium. Its description in RNAcentral is "partial 16S ribosomal RNA". It matches the Rfam family "Bacterial small subunit ribosomal RNA", at positions 524 to 776 of the family's 1533-position model. The record is from RNAcentral.